GACGAACGCUGGCGGCGUGCCUAAUACAUGCAAGUUGAGCGCUGAAGGUUGGUACUUGUCCCGACUGGAUGAGCAGCGAACGGGUGAGUAACGCGUGGGGAAUCUGCCUUUGAGCGGGGGACAACAUUUGGAAACGAAUGCUAAUACCGCAUAAAAACUUUAAACACAAGUUUUAAGUUUGAAAGAUGCAAUUGCAUCACUCAAAGAUGAUCCCGCGUUGUAUUAGCUAGUUGGUGAGGUAAAGGCUCACCAAGGCGAUGAUACAUAGCCGACCUGAGAGGGUGAUCGGCCACAUUGGGACUGAGACACGGCCCAAACGCCUACGGGAGGCAGCAGUAGGGAAUCUUCGGCAAUGGACGAAAGUCUGACCGAGCAACGCCGCGUGAGUGAAGAAGGUUUUCGGAUCGUAAAACUCUGUUGGUAGAGAAGAACGUUGGUGAGAGUGGAAAGCUCAUCAAGUGACGGUAACUACCCAGAAAGGGACGGAUAACUACGUG
Molecule: ribosomal RNA, 497 nt
Filed under: uncultured bacterium
Lineage: Bacteria
Description: partial 16S ribosomal RNA
Rfam family: Bacterial small subunit ribosomal RNA
Source: RNAcentral